RNAcentral lists this transfer RNA (72 nucleotides) under Cavia porcellus (domestic guinea pig). It matches the Rfam family "tRNA". From Rfam's summary of the family: Transfer RNA (tRNA) molecules are approximately 80 nucleotides in length. Their secondary structure includes four short double-helical elements and three loops (D, anti-codon, and T loops). The record is from Rfam by way of RNAcentral. Lineage: Eukaryota; Metazoa; Chordata; Mammalia; Rodentia; Caviidae.
GGGGAUAUAGCUUAGUGGUACAGCAUCUGCCUGGCAAGAAUGAGGUUCUGAGUUCAAUUCCUGGUAUCUACA